GACGAACGCUGGCGGCGUGCUUAACACAUGCAAGUCGAACGGAAAGGCCCUGCUUUUGUGGGGUGCUCGAGUGGCGAACGGGUGAGUAACACGUGAGUAACCUGCCCUUGACUUUGGGAUAACUUCAGGAAACUGGGGCUAAUACCGGAUAGGAGCUCCUGCUGCAUGGUGGGGGUUGGAAAGUUUCGGCGGUUGGGGAUGGACUCGCGGCUUAUCAGCUUGUUGGUGGGGUAGUGGCUUACCAAGGCUUUGACGGGUAGCCGGCCUGAGAGGGUGACCGGCCACAUUGGGACUGAGAUACGGCCCAGACUGCUACGGGGGGCAGCAGUGGGGAAUAUUGCACAAUGGGCGGAAGCCUGAGGCAGCAACGCCGCGUGCGGGAUGACGGCCUUCGGGUUGUAAACCGCUUUCGCCUGUGACGAAGCGUGAGUGACGGUAAUGGGUAAAGAAGCACCGGCUAACUACGUG
Molecule: ribosomal RNA, 468 nt
Filed under: uncultured bacterium
Lineage: Bacteria
Description: partial 16S ribosomal RNA
Rfam family: Bacterial small subunit ribosomal RNA
Source: RNAcentral